Molecule: non-coding RNA, 45 nt
Filed under: Schistosoma curassoni
Lineage: Eukaryota; Metazoa; Platyhelminthes; Trematoda; Strigeidida; Schistosomatidae
Source: RNAcentral
CUCCAGCUGAUGAUUCCCAAAUAGGACGAAACGCGCUUUCUGGAC